This 301-nucleotide ribosomal RNA is filed under the name uncultured bacterium. Its description in RNAcentral is "partial 16S ribosomal RNA". It matches the Rfam family "Bacterial small subunit ribosomal RNA", at positions 509 to 807 of the family's 1533-position model. The record is from RNAcentral.
CAGUAGCCGCGGUAAUACGUAGGGUGCGAGCGUUAAUCGGAAUUACUGGGCGUAAAGCGUGCGCAGGCGGUUGUGUAAGACAGGUGUGAAAUCCCCGGGCUUAACCUGGGAACUGCGCUUGUGACUGCACAGCUAGAGUAUGGCAGAGGGGGGUGGAAUUCCACGUGUAGCAGUGAAAUGCGUAGAGAUAUGGAGGAACACCGAUGGCGAAGGCGGCCCCCUGGGCCAAUACUGACGCUCAUGCACGAAAGCGUGGGGAGCAAACAGGAUUAGAUACCCCCGUAGUCCCUGUCUCUUAUAC